RNAcentral lists this ribosomal RNA (623 nucleotides) under Rhodotorula paludigena. Its description in RNAcentral is "eukaryotic LSU rRNA". It matches the Rfam family "Eukaryotic large subunit ribosomal RNA", at positions 36 to 670 of the family's 3401-position model. Lineage: Eukaryota; Fungi; Basidiomycota; Microbotryomycetes; Sporidiobolales; Sporidiobolaceae. The record is from RNAcentral.
AUUGCAUAUCAAUAAGCGGAGGAAAAGAAACUAACAAGGAUUCCCCUAGUAGCGGCGAGCGAAGCGGGAAGAGCUCAAAUUUAUAAUCUGGCACUUUCAGUGUCCGAGUUGUAAUCUCUAGAAGUGUUUUCCGCGUUGGACCGCACACAAGUCUGUUGGAAUACAGCGGCACAGUGGUGACACCCCCGUACACGGUGCGGACGCCCAGCGCUUUGUGAUACACUUUCGAAGAGUCGAGUUGUUUGGGAAUGCAGCUCAAAUUGGGUGGUAAAUUCCAUCUAAAGCUAAAUAUUGGCGAGAGACCGAUAGCGAACAAGUACCGUGAGGGAAAGAUGAAAAGCACUUUGGAAAGAGAGUUAACAGUACGUGAAAUUGUUGGAAGGGAAACGCUUGAAGUCAGACUUGCUUGCCGGAGCUUGCUUCGGUUUGCAGGCCAGCAUCAGUUUUCCGGGGUGGAUAAUGGCGGUUAGAAGGUAGCAGCUUCAGCUGUGUUAUAGCUUUCCGCUGGAUACAUCCUGGGGGACUGAGGAACGCAGCGUGCUUUUAGCGGGGGUUUCGACCUCUUCACGCUUAGGAUGCUGGUGUAAUGGCUUUAAACGACCCGUCUUGAAACACGGACCAAU